This 352-nucleotide ribosomal RNA is filed under the name uncultured bacterium. Its description in RNAcentral is "bacterial SSU rRNA". It matches the Rfam family "Bacterial small subunit ribosomal RNA", at positions 527 to 881 of the family's 1533-position model. The record is from RNAcentral.
GGAAGGUCCGNGCGUUAUCCGGAUUUAUUGGGUUUAAAGGGAGCGUAGGCCGGAGAUUAAGCGUGUUGUGAAAUGUAGACGCUCAACGUCUGCACUGCAGCGCGAACUGGUUUCCUUGAGUACGCACAAAGUGGGCGGAAUUCGUGGUGUAGCGGUGAAAUGCUUAGAUAUCACGAAGAACUCCGAUUGCGAAGGCAGCUCACUGGAGCGCAACUGACNCUGANGCUCGAAAGUGCGGGUAUCAAACAGGAUUAGAUACCCUGGUAGUCCACNCAGUAAACGAUGAAUACUAACUGUUUGCGAUACNCUGUAAGCGGNNCAGCGAAAGCGUUAAGUAUUCCACCUGGAGAGU